UGCCAGACUCCUACGGGAGGCAGCAGUGGGGAAUAUUGCACAAUGGGGGAAACCCUGAUGCAGCGACGCCGCGUGAGUGAAGAAGUAUUUCGGUAUGUAAAGCUCUAUCAGCAGGGAAGAAAAUGACGGUACCUGACUAAGAAGCCCCGGCUAACUACGUGCCAGCAGCCGCGGUAAUACGUAGGGGGCAAGCGUUAUCCGGAUUUACUGGGUGUAAAGGGAGCGUAGACGGUUAUGUAAGUCUGGAGUGAAAGCCCGGGGCCCAACCCCGGGACUGCUUUGGAAACUGUGUAACUAGAGUACAGGAGGGGCAGGCGGAAUUCCUGGUGUAGCGGUGAAAUGCGUAGAUAUCAGGAGGAACACCGGCGGCGAAGGCGGCCUGCUGGACUGAAACUGACGUUGAGGCUCGAAAGCGUGGGGAGCAAACAGGAUUAGAUACCCGUGUAA
Molecule: ribosomal RNA, 447 nt
Filed under: uncultured bacterium
Lineage: Bacteria
Description: bacterial SSU rRNA
Rfam family: Bacterial small subunit ribosomal RNA
Source: RNAcentral